CUCAAUGAAUGACAGCACACUAGGAAGCUCAGAGCUUGCUUCUCCAUUCAUCCCUGAAUGUGACUGGACAGGGUAAUAGGUUAGUUAAGAAGUGGGCUGAAAUUGUGUUGCUGGAAAAGCGCAGCAGG
Molecule: non-coding RNA, 128 nt
Organism: Chiloscyllium plagiosum (whitespotted bambooshark)
Lineage: Eukaryota; Metazoa; Chordata; Chondrichthyes; Orectolobiformes; Hemiscylliidae
Source: RefSeq, a predicted model, not a curated record